Molecule: long non-coding RNA, 4135 nt
Organism: Pelobates fuscus (common spadefoot toad)
Lineage: Eukaryota; Metazoa; Chordata; Amphibia; Anura; Pelobatidae
Exons: 2
Source: RefSeq, a predicted model, not a curated record
UCCGUCAGUGACGAGAGAGAAAAUUCACAAAACUGUUUCCGGUUACAGUGAAAUGUCUCAAAGUUCCAAUGUCACAUUCUAGUAAUAAGUUGACGCUUUUAUAUGUGCUUGCAUAAGCCUGUUAGCAUGUUGUUACUAAAGGGACACUAUAGUCACCCAGACCACUUCAGCUCAAUUAAGUGGUCUGGGUGCCAGGUCCCUCAGGUUUUAACCCUUCAGAUGUAAACAUGGCAUUUUCAGAGAAACUGCUAUGUUUACAUUAGGGGUUAAGCCAACCUCUAGUGGCUGUCUUCCAGACAGCCGAUAGAGGCGCAUCUGCGACGCUGGAUGCGAAUUUCACAUCCAUCGCGCAGAGAGUCCAUAGGAAAGCACUGAGAAAUGCUUUCAAACGGACUGUUUGAAUGCGCGCGUGGCUCUUGCCGCGCAUGCGCAUUCCGCUCCACUCUGGAGCUGACGUCGGCGGGGGAGGAGAGGUCACCAGUGCCGAGGGAGCUCGGCGCUGGAAUAAGGUAAGCUGCUGAAGGGGUUUUAACCACGGGAGAGGGACCCUGAGGGUGGGGGCACCCUCAGGGCACUAUAGUGUCAGGAAAACCGCUUUGUUUUCCUGACACUAUAGUGAUCCUUUAAGGAUGUGGUAAUUUUCCUAUGAAUAAAAUAAAUUCCAUAACACAGGUACUUCAGAUCACGGAGAGGAGAUUAAAUAUAAAGGUUUCGACCUUUAUAUUAAUCAUUUAUCUACAAGAUAUACAUUGAUGAUUUUCCAUGUCUGUUUUUUUAAAGGAUGUGGCCUUUGGAUUCAGUCCAAGGAUACAUUGACCACCAAUAAAAAUUAACAAAGUAUUAUUUUAGGCUAUGUAUUCAUUGUAUCCCUUAAUACAAUGGUUCCUUAUAGCAGUGGUUUCCAAACCAAACCUAAAGACACGCCUACCAAUCUACAAUUUAAGGAUUACCCAGUUGUAUCUAAGGUGUUUUUAGAAAGAAAAAAGACACAACUGGUUAAUCACUAAAACCUGGACUGGUAGGCGUGCCUUGAGGACUGGUUUGAAAACCCCUGCCUUAUAGCUUGGUCCAAUCUUGUCUCCAACCCCAAGUAAGGGGCUAGACUUUUCAGUCUUUCAGUAGAAUUUCAGAAUGUCAGGUCUAAAAGCAAUGUGUUCUUCUGAGGUUUCAAACUUUUUAUAGGAAUCUGAUUUUUAUAUUUAAUGAGAUGUGAGCAUGUAAGAGCAUCAAAACAGAUGGUCAUCUUUUGUUGGAAGAGCUAUAUCAUAAAGAAACAAAACAAAACUCCAUUAUUUUUAGCACAAGUCAACGUUCAUAAUGUCUCAUAAAAAAAAGUCGUCAAAAAAUUAUAGGAAUUACAAAAUAGAAAAUAAAAACAGCAGCAAUUUUGUACAUGGGGUUUGACCAUCAGAUUUGAAAGAAUUCUAACGCUUAUGAAACAUGUAAGCAUAACGGGCAAUUCUGGUUGAUUCAACCAAUUGUAGUAAGUUAUCUAAAUCUUUACUCCAGAACUGUGCAACUUACUCAUCGAACAACAUUCUACUUCUAAAAUCUUUUAAAGAUCAAUGUUGCUGUAAUUAAAACCCAGUGCAGUCAAUAAAUCACUCAAGUGCAAUGUCACUGUCACGCUUAAUACAUACGUAGAUCAAACAGGGAACAAGGUGAUUGCAAACACAGUGGUUAAAAACCUCACAGCUGGUAAUUUAAAUAUAUAUGGGUUUUAAUUACCAUUUCCAGCUGUGAGGUAUUUUUAACCACUGUGGCCACAAUCACCUCGUUCCCUGUUUUAACAUUCUACUACUACUAAAUAUAUCUAUCUAAGAACUUUGGAAGACAACUUGUGAAAUAGAGCUGGCCAAUGUGUUGUUCAUUCAUCGACCUCCUUCACUGUAUAAUAAGCUUUUUUUUUGGAGGGGAGGGACAAUCUUUAUUUUUAGUUAACCAAUGAACAUUUGACUCAUCUGUAUACAGUAUUGAAUAACAUUCAAUACUUUAAUCAUAUUAAUUUUAGCUAUCAUUUCAGAAUAUAGCAUGAACCAAAAUACCCAGAAAUAAAAGGGGAACACAGAAGGUGCGGUGGGGAGAGAAUGGCCCCAAUAUAUAUAAUAUAUGUCACAUUUCCUUAAUUAAAUAGAAUUUGCAAGUACCCUUAAAUCAGCUAUAAAGUCAAACCAUGGCAGUUAUAUGCUGAAACGCUGUAUGAGAAGUGGUGGGCUUAUUCGUGUUUUUCCUUCAAGGCAAUGAUCUUCAGAGGUCACACUUGUCGUCUCCACAGGACAAGGGUAAGAGAUUUAGCCACAUUUAGGAGAUGUUUAGUAAGUUGAGUUAUUUUUUUUCUCGUUAAGUGUUUUUUUGAAGUGUAAAAGCACUGAAGCAGGUCAAAACAAAGGUCCAUCUCGAAUUGACGUUUCUCGUAGUUCCAAUGCUCGCCACCGCUCCGCCCCAAAACAUGUUUUUCUUUUAACGUGAACAACCACUUCUUUAGAAUUUGCAAAAUUAAAUAAAACAUUGAAAAUCAUUUAUAACUUGCGCUGACCUUAUUCUUCACGAGAAACUCUGUUUUCUUUUAAAUUCUAUAAAAGAUUUAGCAAGUGACAUCAUAUUCCAGUUCAGACAAGGCCAAGAGAAACAUUGCAAAUGGAGAGAACACAUAGAAACAUUGUUUAAUUUCUCCUCUUCUCUGUAAGCGUUCGCUACCCUGACUGUCAAAUGCAAAGGACAGAGUUUAUAACAAUGGCUGACAUAGAGCUGAGAUGGGCAGACUAGAUGGGCCGAAUGGUUCCUAUCUGCCGUCACAUUCUAUGUUUCUAUGGAGGAGCCCAGUUGCAGGAUAAAGAGGUGUUGAGUUCCACUUUUAAUUUUAUUUUUCACCCCUCCCAAAUACAUAUUUGUUAAAUAUAGGGAUAUUUAAAGAUAAUAUUAAAAAUCCGAGAAAGUAACAGAUCCCCUUUUAGUUUUAGCAAACAACCUGCGCUAUAUAUUAAUAAUAUAAUAUUCUUCGUAAAUGCGCUUAUUAUAUCGCAUAUCACCAUUUUACAUGCAUUCCACACCAUGCAAUUUAAAGGACUACCAAAGGGCACCCAGACCUCGUCAUGUCAAUGAAAUGGUCUGGGUGCAAUGCCCCUGCUAUUUUUGCCCUACACUAUAUAACACUGCCAUUUAAUACAUACGCAAUGUUUUCAAUGCAGGGCUAAACAUACCUCUGGUGGCCGUCUUCCUCCUCUGAAUGCUUCUCAUAUACAGCAUUUGGUUUUCAUUCCCAGUGCUUCUCUAGGUGAAGCACUGGAUUGGGUGAGACGAGGAAGAACGAGCAGCUGCACCGAGUGAGUUGUGGCGCUGGAAAAAAGCUAUGUUUUUCUUUUUUUUUAAAAUUAAUUUAGGGGUUCCCUGAAUCUAAAUAGAUAGGAGAACACUACAGCUAAAAAUAGGGGCCCACAGGUGUCAUGACUAAGGCCUCUAUGCCAAAACAUUAUAUCUUUUUUUUUUCUUUUUUUUUUCAAUAAAUAUUUUAUUUUGCCUUCACCUUAUGUUCUGACGUCUGUGGACCUCUAUUUUUAGUUGUUGCUAGUGGGCUGCGGACCCCCUUCCACAGAUCUUCUAUGCAAACAUACUCGUGUGCAGCACUCCUUUGACAUUAUGCAUUGGAGAACACUAUAGCAUUAGAAAUAACAAACGCUAUAGUGUUCCUUUAAGAGAUGUCAUUCUUUAUCCAAAAGAUCUUGCGGAUAUAUAUAUUGCAUACAUAUUAUUAUAUAUGAAUAAACCACAAGUCACAAGGAUGAAUGGUCCAUUAAUGUCUCUAGAAUCCUGAAUCUAGAUGGCAUUUUUUUCCCCAGUAAACGCCUCCACAUAUUUUUUUUUUUACAAGACUAUUAUCCCCGACUAACUGUCUAGCCCCUUCAUGAUGCAUCCUUGUGAAGAUUCACAAUAUGCAUGCAGGCCUACAAAGUGCGGCACCUCCUCUCCUAGGGCCACCAUGGUCUUAUACCCUCACCGGGACCAAAAGUGUAAGUGUAAAUGUGUAAGAGACGUGCCAGGUGGCCAGAUUAAAUUGUCUUCGCUGUCCCUUAUUUAGGUCUCUAUUGGCAAAUUACAAUUUGCUUUACUGUUGGUGUUGGUCAGCUUGUUACGUUUG